This 839-nucleotide ribosomal RNA is filed under the name Scytinopogon sp. WRL-2013. Its description in RNAcentral is "eukaryotic LSU rRNA". The stretch from base 279 to 432 matches the Rfam family "5.8S ribosomal RNA". Lineage: Eukaryota; Fungi; Basidiomycota; Agaricomycetes; Trechisporales; Hydnodontaceae. The record is from RNAcentral.
UCUUGGUCAAUUUAGAGGAAGUAAAAGUCGUAACAAGGUUUCCGUAGGUGAACCUGCGGAAGGAUCAUUAACGUAUCUCACCCUCGGGGCGUCGCCUUGGGGCCCUGCUCCGGCCCUUGGCCGUGCAGCGGGCCCCGGUGACCCCCGAAACCCCCACAAACCCCAGUGCACCUUUUCGCGGCGGAGGGCGUGGCUGCAAAGCCCGUCCGAUGCUGCGGUCUCACAGACACACGUCUCAGAAUGUCAGUGCGGGUGUUGGACCUGCCCAUUAACAUGACAACUUUCAACAACGGAUCUCUUGGCUCUCGCAUCGAUGAAGAACGCAGCGAAAUGCGAUAAGUAAUGUGAAUUGCAGAAUUCAGUGAAUCAUCGAAUCUUUGAACGCACCUUGCGCUCCUUGGUAUUCCGAGGAGCAUGCCUGUUUGAGUGUCUUGAAUUCAUCGGCCCCUCUCUGCUUUUGCGAGCGGGGGGUGGGCCGGAACUUGGGGGCCCCUGUGCUGCCGAAAGGCGGCUCCCCUCAAAUGCUUCGGUUUGGGCCUGCGGGUCAAACUCGACUGGGCGUUGUACUGUCCUCGCUCGACCGAGUCCCCUCUACCGUGCUCGGACCUUGUCCGCCUCUGGAGUGGUGGACGGCACCUCCUCGAAAUCUGACCUCAAAUCAGGUAGGACUACCCGCUGAACUUAAGCAUAUCAAUAAGCGGAGGAAAAGAAACUAACAAGGAUUCCCCUAGUAACUGCGAGUGAAGCGGGAAAAGCUCAAAUUUGAAAUCUGGCGGUUCUGCCGUCCGAGUUGUAUUCUGGAGAAGCGCCUUCCGCACUGGACCGUGUAAAAGUCUUCC